RNAcentral lists this ribosomal RNA (472 nucleotides) under uncultured bacterium. Its description in RNAcentral is "bacterial SSU rRNA". It matches the Rfam family "Bacterial small subunit ribosomal RNA", at positions 28 to 526 of the family's 1533-position model. The record is from RNAcentral.
GAUGAACGCUGGCGGUAUGCUUUACACAUGCAAGUCGUACGGAAAGUAUCUGAAUUUAUUCGUUUACUUUUAGUGGCGGACGGGUGAGUAACACGUGAGAAUCUGCCUUUAGGAGGGGGACAACAAAUCGAAAGAUCUGCUAAUACCCCAUAUGUCAUUCGAUGAAAUGGAUUUAUCCGCCUAAAGAGGAGCUCGCGUCUGAUUAGCUAGUUGGUAAGGUAAUGGCUUACCAAGGCGACGAUCAGUAACUGGUUUGAGAGGAUGAUCAGUCACACUGGAACUGAGACACGGUCCAGACUCCUACGGGAGGCAGCAGUGGGGAAUUUUCCGCAAUGGGCGAAAGCCUGACGGAGCAACGCCGCGUGAGGGAUGAAGGCCUCUGGGCUGUAAACCUCUUUUAUCAAGGAAGAAGAUCUGACGGUACUUGAUGAAUAAGCCACGGCUAAUUCCGUGCCAGCCGCCGCCGUAACAC